Molecule: long non-coding RNA, 558 nt
Organism: Vicia villosa (hairy vetch)
Lineage: Eukaryota; Viridiplantae; Streptophyta; Magnoliopsida; Fabales; Fabaceae
Exons: 3
Source: RefSeq, a predicted model, not a curated record
UUCUCAAAGCAUGAAUAUUUAGUGAUGCCUAAUGACUAAUAAGUGUCAACAUACUAUUAAGCAUCAUUAACAAUUGUUAAGAGAAUGUUUAUUUGGAAUGGUUAGGAUCCAAAGAGAGUGAUUAGAAACCAACAAAAUGGCAAUUUGGUGAAUAUGACUUAGUUAGAGGGCAAAUGAGACAUUAACCUCUAUUGCAUGGGCUAAGACCAAUUAGGUAAGAGCACUAUUUUUCUAAUUCAGAUUUUUAUGAAAGUGAAAGAGUUAGAAGCACAAAGAGAAAGAACAAUCAAGCCCAACAAGAGCAUUUUCGCAACCUUGAUACAGCUCCACUAAAUCAGCUUCUGUUUUGAAGGAGAAAAACGAGUUUGAAGUUGGAAGCUCCAUGCUGUAUGUGUGUCAAAGUGUGAUUACGGGUUUGAUGAGGAUGGAGUGGAACUUUGGCUAUGGUGGGAGUUCAAUGGCAGCAAAGAACAUGAUCUCAACCUCCAUUUUAGCAAGGUGUGGUUUAGUAGCGUUUGGUCAGUAACAGGUAUGGACUGAAGACUUGGAAGGGGUGUU